AGAGUUUGAUCAUGGCUCAGGACGAACGCUGGCGGCGUGCUUAACACAUGCAAGUCGAACGGAAAGGCCCUUCGGGGUACUCGAGUGGCGAACGGGCGAGUAACACGUGGGUGAUCUGCCCUGCACUCUGGGAUAAGCCUGGGAAACUGGGUCUAAUACCGGAUAGGACCGCAUGCUUCAUGGUGUGUGGUGCAAAGCUUUUGCGGUGUGGGAUGAGCCCGCGGCCUAUCAGCUUGUUGGUGGGGUAAUGGCCUACCAAGGCGACGACGGGUAGCCGGCCUGAGAGGGUGACCGGCCACACUGGGACUGAGAUACGGCCCAGACUCCUACGGGAGGCGGCAGUGGGGAAUAUUGCACAAUGGGCGCAAGCCUGAUGCAGCGACGCCGCGUGAGGGAUGACGGCCUUCGGGUUGUAAACCUCUUUCACCAGGGACGAAGCGCAAGUGACGGUACCUGGAGAAGAAGCACCGGCCAACUACGUGCCAGCAGCCGCGGUAAUACGUAGGGUGCGAGCGUUGUCCGGAAUUACUGGGCGUAAAGAGCUCGUAGGUGGUUUGUCGCGUUGUUCGUGAAAACUCACAGCUUAACUGUGGGCGUGCGGGCGAUACGGGCAGACUAGAGUACUGCAGGGGAGACUGGAAUUCCUGGUGUAGCGGUGGAAUGCGCAGAUAUCAGGAGGAACACCGGUGGCGAAGGCGGGUCUCUGGGCAGUAACUGACGCUGAGGAGCGAAAGCGUGGGGAGCGAACAGGAUUAGAUACCCCGGUAGUCCAA
Molecule: ribosomal RNA, 773 nt
Filed under: uncultured bacterium
Lineage: Bacteria
Description: bacterial SSU rRNA
Rfam family: Bacterial small subunit ribosomal RNA
Source: RNAcentral